This 481-nucleotide ribosomal RNA is filed under the name uncultured bacterium. RNAcentral's name for it is "partial 16S ribosomal RNA". It matches the Rfam family "Bacterial small subunit ribosomal RNA", at positions 30 to 506 of the family's 1533-position model. The record is from RNAcentral.
AUUGAACGCUGGCGGCAUGCCUUACACAUGCAAGUCGAACGGUAACGGGCCUUCGGGUGCCGCCGAGUGGCGAACGGGUGAGUAAUACAUCGGAACGUGCCCGAUCGUGGGGGAUAACGAGGCGAAAGCUUUGCUAAUACCGCAUACGAUCUACGGAUGAAAGCAGGGGACCGCAAGGCCUUGCGCGGACGGAGCGGCCGAUGGCAGACUAGGUAGUUGGUGGGAUAAAAGCUUACCAAGCCGACGAUCUGUAGCUGGUCUGAGAGGAUGAUCAGCCACACUGGGGCUGAGACGCGGCCCAGACUCCUACGGGAGGCAGCAGUGGGAAAUUUUGGACAAUGGGCGCAAGCCUGAUCCAGCCAUGCCGCGUGCAGGAUGAAGGCCUUCGGGUUGUAAACUGCUUUUGUACGGAACGAAAAGCCUUCUUUUAAUACAGGAGGGUAAUGACGGUACCGUAAGAAUAAGCACCGGCUAACUACGU